This 230-nucleotide ribosomal RNA is filed under the name uncultured bacterium. RNAcentral describes it as "partial 16S ribosomal RNA". It matches the Rfam family "Bacterial small subunit ribosomal RNA", at positions 564 to 792 of the family's 1533-position model. The record is from RNAcentral.
AGCGUCCGCAGGCGGUUUUACUAAGUCUGUCGUUAAAACGUGGAGCUCAACUCCAUUUCGGCGAUGGAAACUGUAAGACUAGAGUGUGGUAGGGGCAGAGGGAAUUCCCGGUGUAGCGGUGAAAUGCGUAGAUAUCGGGAAGAACACCAGUGGCGAAGGCGCUCUGCUGGGCCAUAACUGACGCUCAUGGACGAAAGCUAGGGGAGCGAAAGGGAUUAGAUACCCCUUGU